Cricetulus griseus (Chinese hamster) is the source of this 712-nucleotide non-coding RNA. Lineage: Eukaryota; Metazoa; Chordata; Mammalia; Rodentia; Cricetidae. The record is from RefSeq and is a predicted model, not a curated record.
GGCGCUGGGUCGGAGAAAAGGCCUUGAGGGGAAAGAGAGUGGGAAGGGAGUAUCCAGGGUGCCCAGCAACAGGUCCCGCUCUUCGUGUUUCUUGAAGGUCGGCAUGAGGUCUCCCUAGACUCUGGGAAGAGCCGGCGUUCAGGUCCUGAGGAAUUAAUGCCUCUGUAGAUCAGAACCUCUGUCUGGCACAAUCUCCAGCUCUGGCUCUGGCCUCUUGUGACGAGGGAGACGCUUGACCACGCAGGAUGCAGACUCAGCACUUUCAGAGGCUUUCAUCCAGUCCCGAGUUACACGUCAUGCUCACCUCCAUUUUCCCGGACUGCAGUUCUUGGAGAAGGAAAAGAAUAACCUGACUGGCCAGGAUAUGGACUUCAACUGCAGCUUGUUUAAAUCAACAACAAAUACUCAACCAACUUGGGAAGCAGAGGCAAGAAGAUCUCUGAGUUCAAGGCCAGCCUGGCCUACAAGGCCAGUUCCAAGAUAGCCAGGGCUACAGAGGAAACCCUGUCUCCAAAAACAAAAAACAUCCCAAAACUGUAAUUUUUUGAGGUAGGGUUUCAUGUAGCCUAGGCUGACCUCUAGCUCUCCAUCUCCCCUACUCCGCCCCCAAACACAAAACAGGGUUUCUUUGCAUAGCCCAGGCUGUCCUGGAACUCUGCAGAGGGUGGCCUUGAACUGUCUGUGCUGGGAUUAAAGCUAAUGCUAACCUCCA